UACGGAGGGGACUAGCGUUGUUCGGAAUUACUGGGCGUAAAGAGCUCGUAGGCGGUUCGUCGCGUCGGCUGUGAAAUCCCGAGGCUCAACCUCGGGUCUGCAGUCGAUACGGGCGGACUGGAGUUCGGCAGGGGAGACUGGAAUUCCUGGUGUAGCGGUGAAAUGCGCAGAUAUCAGGAGGAACACCGGUGGCGAAGGCGGGUCUCUGGGCCGAUACUGACGCUGAGGAGCGAAAGCGUGGGGAGCGAACAGG
This 253-nucleotide ribosomal RNA is filed under the name uncultured bacterium. Its description in RNAcentral is "partial 16S ribosomal RNA". It matches the Rfam family "Bacterial small subunit ribosomal RNA", at positions 524 to 776 of the family's 1533-position model. The record is from RNAcentral.